Molecule: ribosomal RNA, 607 nt
Filed under: Salmonella enterica
Lineage: Bacteria; Pseudomonadati; Pseudomonadota; Gammaproteobacteria; Enterobacterales; Enterobacteriaceae
Also listed under: 1 other name
Description: partial 23S ribosomal RNA
Rfam family: Bacterial large subunit ribosomal RNA
Source: RNAcentral
UGUUUGAUGUUCUAACGUGGACCCGUGAUCCGGGUUGCGGACAGUGUCUGGUGGGUAGUUUGACUGGGGCGGUCUCCUCCUAAAGAGUAACGGAGGAGCACGAAGGUUGGCUAAUCCUGGUCGGACAUCAGGAGGUUAGUGCAAUGGCAUAAGCCAGCUUGACUGCGAGCGUGACGGCGCGAGCAGGUGCGAAAGCAGGUCAUAGUGAUCCGGUGGUUCUGAAUGGAAGGGCCAUCGCUCAACGGAUAAAAGGUACUCCGGGGAUAACAGGCUGAUACCGCCCAAGAGUUCAUAUCGACGGCGGUGUUUGGCACCUCGAUGUCGGCUCAUCACAUCCUGGGGCUGAAGUAGGUCCCAAGGGUAUGGCUGUUCGCCAUUUAAAGUGGUACGCGAGCUGGGUUUAGAACGUCGUGAGACAGUUCGGUCCCUAUCUGCCGUGGGCGCUGGAGAACUGAGGGGGGCUGCUCCUAGUACGAGAGGACCGGAGUGGACGCAUCACUGGUGUUCGGGUUGUCAUGCCAAUGGCACUGCCCGGUAGCUAAAUGCGGAAGAGAUAAGUGCUGAAAGCAUCUAAGCACGAAACUUGCCCCGAGAUGAGUUCUCCCUG